RNAcentral lists this ribosomal RNA (471 nucleotides) under uncultured bacterium. RNAcentral's name for it is "bacterial SSU rRNA". It matches the Rfam family "Bacterial small subunit ribosomal RNA", at positions 28 to 506 of the family's 1533-position model. The record is from RNAcentral.
GAUAAACGCUGGCGGCGUGCAUAACACAUGCAAGUCGAACGAUGAAGAUUAAAAGAUUUCUUCGGAAUGAACUUAAUUGGAUUAGUGGCGGACGGGUGAGUAACGCGUGAGUAACCUGCCUUGUACAAGGGGAUAGCCGUUGGAAACGACGAAUAAUACCCUAUAACAUCAAAUAAUCGCAUGAUAAUUUGAUCAAAGAUUUAUCGGUAUAAGAUGGACUCGCGUCUGAUUAGCUAGUUGUGGGUAACUGCCACCAAGGCAACGAUCAGUAGCCGGCUUGAGAGAGUGUACGGCCACAUUGGGACUGAGACACGGCCCAGACUCCUACGGGAGGCAGCAGUGGGGAAUUUUGCACAAUGGGGGAAACCCUGAUGCAGCGACGCCGCGUGAUUUAGAAGGCCUUCGGGUUGUAAAAUCUUUUGUAUGGGAAGAAAUGACAGUACCAUACGAAUAAGGACCGGCUAAUUACGU